RNAcentral lists this ribosomal RNA (548 nucleotides) under uncultured Thelephoraceae. Its description in RNAcentral is "eukaryotic LSU rRNA". The stretch from base 172 to 326 matches the Rfam family "5.8S ribosomal RNA". Lineage: Eukaryota; Fungi; Basidiomycota; Agaricomycetes; Thelephorales; Thelephoraceae. The record is from RNAcentral.
UCAAACGGGGGCAUGUGCACGCUCUGUUUACACAUCCACUCACACCUGUGCACCCUCUGUAGUUCUGUGGYCUGGGGGGCUCUGCCCUCCUGCUGCGGUUCUACGUCUUUACACAYACACUAUGUAAUGAAGUCUCAUGGAAUGUGUACCGCGUUUAACGCAAUACAAUACAACYUUCAGCAACGGAUCUCUUGGCUCUCGCAUCGAUGAAGAACGCAGCGAAAUGCGAUAAGUAAUGUGAAUUGCAGAAUUCAGUGAAUCAUCGAAUCUUUGAACGCACCUUGCGCCCUUUGGCCAUUCCGAAGGGCAUGCCUGUUUGAGUAUCAUGAACACCUCAACUCUCAUGGYUUGCCAUGAUGAGCUUGGACUUUGGGGGUCUUGCUGGCCUGUGGUCGGCUCCUCUCAAAUGAAUCAGCUUGCCAGUGUUUGGUGGCAUCACAAGUGUGAUAACUAACUGCGCUCGUGGUUUCCAUCAGAUAACCUCCAGUGAUGGAGGUUCGCUGGAGCUCAUAAUUGUCUCUCCUAAGCGAGGACAGCUCUUUUAAUGU